GUUCUCCUCUUCCCUCUCUGGUGGAAUAUUUUAUCACAUUCUAGGUUGUUUUGAAAUAUAUCAUAAAAUAAUCAACCAAUAGGCAAUAGCACUCAAAAUUAAUCAGCAAUUUAAUGAAAGUCUUCUUUAUAUCAUAUUUGUCAAAUUAAGAUUUGAGUUGAGAAUUGAAAUCUUCAUUUUGUAAAUCGAGAAUCGAAUCGAAUCGUAAGAUUCGAUAA
Molecule: unclassified non-coding RNA, 218 nt
Filed under: Hevea brasiliensis (rubber tree)
Lineage: Eukaryota; Viridiplantae; Streptophyta; Magnoliopsida; Malpighiales; Euphorbiaceae
Source: RNAcentral